Molecule: ribosomal RNA, 500 nt
Filed under: uncultured bacterium
Lineage: Bacteria
Description: partial 16S ribosomal RNA
Rfam family: Bacterial small subunit ribosomal RNA
Source: RNAcentral
AUUGAACGCUGGCGGCAGGCCUAACACAUGCAAGUCGAGCGGGUGACGGGAGCUUGCUCCUUGAUUCAGCGGCGGACGGGUGAGUAAUGCCUAGGAAUCUGCCUGGUAGUGGGGGACAACGUUUCGAAAGGAACGCUAAUACCGCAUACGUCCUACGGGAGAAAGCAGGGGACCUUCGGGCCUCGCGCUAUCAGAUGAGCCUAGGUCGGAUUAGCUAGUUGGUGGGGUAAUGGCUCACCAAGGCGACGAUCCGUAACUGGUCUGAGAGGAUGAUCAGUCACACUGGAACUGAGACACGGUCCAGACUCCUACGGGAGGCAGCAGUGGGGAAUAUUGGACAAUGGGCGAAAGCCUGAUCCAGCCAUGCCGCGUGUGUGAAGAAGGUCUUCGGAUUGUAAAGCACUUUAAGUUGGGAGGAAGGGCAGUAAGUUAAUACCUUGCUGUUUUGACGUUACCGACAGAAUAAGCACCGGCUAACUCUGUGCCAGCCGCCGCCGUAA